RNAcentral lists this ribosomal RNA (467 nucleotides) under uncultured bacterium. RNAcentral describes it as "partial 16S ribosomal RNA". It matches the Rfam family "Bacterial small subunit ribosomal RNA", at positions 28 to 507 of the family's 1533-position model. The record is from RNAcentral.
GACGAACGCUGGCGGCGUGCUUAACACAUGCAAGUCGAACGGAAAGGCUCCAGCUUGCUGGAGUACUCGAGUGGCGAACGGGUGAGUAACACGUGGGUAAUCUGCCCUGCACUCUGGGAUAAGCCUGGGAAACUGGGUCUAAUACUGGAUAUGACCUUUCUCCUUAUAGGGUUUGGUGGAAAGUUUUUCGGUGUAGGAUGAGCCCGCGGCCUAUCAGCUUGUUGGUGGGGCGAUGGCCUACCAAGGCGACGACGGGUAGCCGGCCUGAGAGGGUGAUCGGCCACAUUGGGACUGAGAUACGGCCCAGACUCCUACGGGAGGCAGCAGUGGGGAAUAUUGCACAAUGGGCGGAAGCCUGAUGCAGCGACGCCGCGUGAGGGAUGACGGCCUUCGGGUUGUAAACCUCUUUCAGCAGGGACGAAGCGUAAGUGACGGUACCUGCAGAAGAAGCACCGGCUAACUAUGUG